GGGCUGGCAGCCAAGAAACCCUAGAUUUCUUGGUUCUAGGAUGUGAAGAAGAUCAAAAAGAGAGAGUAAGGAAGAGAGAGAAAGAUAGAAAGAAUAAUUUUGUGUUCCUUUCGAUUCAUUGAGUCCAAAUACAAUGUAUGUUUAUAUAUAAGAUCAAUGUGACCCAACCCAAAAACUCCCCUGGCUAACUCAAUACAAGAUUGCACUCAUCCAA
RNAcentral lists this long non-coding RNA (214 nucleotides) under Elaeis guineensis (African oil palm). RNAcentral's name for it is "long non-coding RNA (EGUI_LNC069977)". The record is from RNAcentral. Lineage: Eukaryota; Viridiplantae; Streptophyta; Magnoliopsida; Arecales; Arecaceae.